CAAAUUGAGAGCAUUUAAAAAAAAAAAAAGAAUUUAUGGUUUGAAAUUAUUUCCUGUGCUUCAUUACUGUUGGUGGAAGAAUAUUGAUUAUAAUAAGAUAAUAUUGGAAAAAACCUGGUUCAUGAUGGCACACUGUUGAGAACUGCCCUUUUUGCCCGUUUAAGAUGGGUAAUUUUCAAGCAGAAAGUGUUAAUAAAACUGUUCCCUUUGUGGAUCUUCUGAAAGAAAAUCAUGGCCAGAUGCUUAGUAGGUACUGCUGGAGGUGCAUCUUGGAGCAAAGUAGAAUGCCAUCUAUGGGAAAAAUGGGUAAAUUUUGCCUUAUCAAUUUCAUUGCUAUUAAAUUCCUCCUCCACUUUUUGGGUGCUCAGAAUAAGUUGCUUUACUUGUUUUCAACAGGGUGAGUUACCAGUUUCAGCAUUCAGAUAGUUGUUGGUAAUUUUGUCAUUGGUCAUAUUUAAUACUCAGAUAUUCUGUGUUUUCUUGGAUAGAUAACACGCAUAUGUAAAAAAAAAAAAUUUUGCCAAUUUUAUACAAAAUUUCUUAAAAUUUUCUAGUAUGGAGUCCAGAAUCCAUCUGCAGCAUCCUUUCAACAACCUACCCAACCUGCAGCUAAGAAUACCUCCAUGAGCCCUCGACAGCGCCGGGCCCAGCAGCAGAGUCAAAGAAGGUCAUCCACCUCACCAGAUGUAAUCCAGGGCCAGCAGCCAAGAGACAACCACACUGAUCAUGGUGGAUCAGCUGUACUGAUUGUCAUUCUGACUUUGGCAUUGGCAGCUCUUAUAUUCCGACGAAUAUAUCUGGCCAAUGAGUACAUAUUUGACUUUGAGUUAUAAUAUUGUUUUGCAACUUAAGAGCUGUGAUUCAACUGCUUCGUUAAACAUUCUGCAUUGGGUAUAAUCUAAGAAUUGUUUACAAAAAGAUUAUUUUGUAUUUAUCCUCCAUUCCUUUUUUGAUCCUUAUAAAUUCAAUAUAAAUAUGGCUAGAUAUUUAGACUAUAUCCAGCAGUGUGUCCUGCUUAAUGUAAAGGACUAGAAGUCAGUUUCUUGUCGCACUAUUUGAUCUGCUUCAUAGGGAAAUAACUUAUUGUUGUUUCUAAUGCCUCAGCUUCUGUAAAUUUGCAAUAUUUUUUUCUGUUUAGUUCUUUGAAUUUUUCAGAUAAAUGAUGGUAUUUUAAGUUCCCCUGAGUAUUACUAGUUACUCAAUAUCAUUUAUUGAGUGCUAUUUCUACCUAGGCAGAAUGAUCUAGGGACAGAAGAGUUGAAAAGGGAAAACAAGACUCAAGUAGCUACCUUAAAGUGUCAUUCAUACUGGGACUGUCCACUCUGUAACUGUUCUAAUAUAAUCUAUUUGAAUCAAAUGUUUAUGAGGAAAUGAGAUUACAUCUUUGUUAUCAGAUGUUACUUGAAGAGGAAGUACUUUGUAACCACUUUGAUAUGCUGUUAUCAAUCUUCUUUCUCCAAUAGACACACAGAUUUUAAAAGAAAGAAAACAGUCCUCCAUAGGUCUUUGUCUUAAGGAAGAAAGAGUCCAAGCCAGAAAUUGUUUGAUUUUCUUCUAGAAGUUCAGUGGGAGUAUCUAAAGAUUUGAAUGUUUGCUUUGCUUUGAAUUGUAUAUAUUUUGAAAUGUGUUAUAUACCUAGCUUUGUAAUCACUAUAAAUUUUAAUUACUCCAGGAAUAUGCAUAAUGUUUAAAUAUUUCAUGUACCAUUUUAAUAGAAAACCUCAGGGCCCAAGUAUUAGUGAUAAAAGUUAGAAAAACUUAUAAUAGUCCACCUAAUCAAAGCCCAAGAAAGAUUUUCAGUGAAAAAAAUCAGUAUAUCACUGAAUGCUAGUCAGCUCCACAGAUGCUGAUGGACAAUUUUGUCAUCAAAUUGCCUGGUGAGACCAUAGACUCAGAAAAUAUUGCCUCUAGCAUGUGCGGUUAGCAGCGUUGAGGGCACUCGUGGAGUGUGGUUAAUGAAGUUUUAAUUUUUAAAUAUAGUCCCCAGCCUUCAAACAGCUUUUGCUCUAAAAGUGCAUUUGUAAACUUUUUUUUGGGUACAACUCAAUGUAAAUGAUAUUUAAGUUCUAGACCAGUCCAUGAAAGUUAGCCCAUAUAUAUUUGGAUAGUUUGGGGGAGGGUAUUCAUGAAGUCCUUAUGUGGUUUUAACUAACUGAAAUUAUGGGCUAGACAAAAGCAAUUCAUAAAAUAAUUUUAAAAGCAAAUUUAAUUUUUACUCCUAACACAGGACUUUGGAUCUACUAACCAUCAGAUAUAAUUUCUAUUUUUACUUGAUGGCCAGUUUUCCAUUAAGUCUGCAUCUAAAAUAAGAACAUAUUGCAUACUAUUAUAUAAUACAGAGUUGUUUUAAACUUUAAUAAAUUAGCAUUUUAAAGUUGUUCAGGUUUUUUUUUUUCUGUUAUAUCUAGCUGAAGUUGGUAGUCUGAAAAGCCUAAGGACUUAUGAAGACCUCAUGUCAGGAAAAUUAUAGAUUCCAUUUUAUAAUUUUAUUGCCAUGAGAAAAUACAUCCUGAAGUCUUGGUUUAUAACCCAAGAUAUUAGAAAUAUUGGGUCAGUUGUCUCCAAGCAAGAAAUCACUGACCCAACUGGGAAGACCAGGUAUUGGCAUCACCUAAGAAAUAAAUCCCAUGCCCUCAACCUAUGCUGAGAUUAAUCAUGCACUAGGAACAAUCUUCUUUCUAUUUCCUCUCAAACUUGAGCCAGCCUCUGGAUGUAUGUGAUCUUGAUUGUUUCCACAGGCUGUACCUGUGCUUUACAAUUAAGCAUUUUGCAGAUCCUUCUUUAAUCUGAUUUGUGUCUCUUCCCUUAUCCCUCAAGGAACUGGACACCUGCCUGAUUGUUCAGGGUCUUUUAGCACUUGACACAUACAUGUAGAAGUGGCACGUUUUUCCUCUUUCACCUCGAAUGGUCUUCCUAAAAAUCCUGAAAUUGUCAAUCUGAUCCCCAUUGUGUGGUUAAUAAACCACAUUAAAUUGAUCUUUGAGGCCAUUUUUAUUGAAACCCCACUGAAGGGCCUCUUCAGAAAACUUGUUAUUUUAAAGCCCCACUUUAACCCUUAAUUCAAGCAUAAGGCCAAACUAGAAGUAUAAUCUGGUAUAUAAAGAUGUAAAGGACUCCUUAUUACCCCAAUUCUCAGAUUUAGGUAACUCUUGGCUUUUUCAUUGACCAACAUAGCACAUUACUACUUAUUAAGGUAGUUAAAAUAGCAUGCUUGAUAAAAAUCUGUCUGUUUCACUUGUAACUGUUUAAAGCCAAUGAACUUUCAAAUUUUAUGUAUUGGGGCUUUUAUGUAGCACUUUAUAUUUCCAUGCUGCUUAUUGUUUUAUUCUACUGAAAUAAAUGAAUUUCAUCAAGAUUCUCAACUAAUUUUUUAAAGAAAUCUUAAAUUGUUUAUUGUUUUGACUACGGAAAUAUACAGUUUCCUAUUUCAGGAGAAUAAAGACUCUUUUUGUUAUUUUCGGUUUAUGAAUAAACAUUCUGGUAUCUUGAAGCUUGCCUGUUUUUGCAGAUCAGAAUCAGUAAACAAGUAAACCUCACACACUUGAACUUAAUUGAGCAGAAACCUAGGGUGAAGUACUGAAAAGCGUACAUUGUUUUAUUACUUGCAAGUAAGUAUAAAGUGAAGGCAUUUAGUGAACCUUACUUUAACCAAGAAUAAUGUGUACAUUAUCAUGUGUGCCGUUGAAACCCUCGUGGGAAGCUGUGCAUUGCUCAGAAGCUGUUUGGAAUGUCUCUUGAAUAGGUGCCUUCAGAACUAGUUUGAGCUGCUCAAUAAAACUGGUG
This 3783-nucleotide long non-coding RNA is filed under the name Marmota monax (woodchuck). Lineage: Eukaryota; Metazoa; Chordata; Mammalia; Rodentia; Sciuridae. The record is from RNAcentral.